UGGGGAAUAUUGGACAAUGGGCGAAAGCCUGAUCCAGCAAUGCCGCGUGAGUGAUGAAGGCCUUAGGGUUGUAAAGCUCUUUUACCAGGGAUGAUAAUGACAGUACCUGGAGAAUAAGCUCCGGCUAACUCCGUGCCAGCAGCCGCGGUAAUACGGAGGGAGCUAGCGUUGUUCGGAAUUACUGGGCGUAAAGCGUACGUAGGCGGUGACUCAAGUCAGAGGUGAAAGCCUGGAGCUCAACUCCAGAACUGCCUUUGAAACUAGGUCGCUAGAAUCACGGAGAGGUGAGUGGAAUUCCGAGUGUAGAUGUGAAAUUCGUAGAUAUUCGGAAGAACACCAGUGGCGAAGGCGGCUCACUGGACGUGUAUUGACGCUGAGGUACGAAAGCGUGGGGAGCAAACAGGAUUAGAUACCCCAGUAGUCCCUGAGCGGGCUGGCAAGGCGCAU
This 447-nucleotide ribosomal RNA is filed under the name uncultured bacterium. RNAcentral describes it as "bacterial SSU rRNA". It matches the Rfam family "Bacterial small subunit ribosomal RNA", at positions 355 to 825 of the family's 1533-position model. The record is from RNAcentral.